CCCGAAAACCAAUGAUCUACUAUAAAAAAUAAAUUUUGUUACAUAAAAAUUUUAAUAAUAUUAUUUGUAGAUGUGAUAUGCUUUUCGUAUUGGUUGUUAGCUGGUUUUAAAAUAUUUUAUAGUUGGGUUAAACCCUGUAAUAUUAUUUUUAAUAUUUGACAAUUAGGAAGGGAUUAGCUUUUCUAAUUUAAUGAAUUUAUAUUAUUUUAUUUAUUUAAGUAGUUUUAAUAGUAAAUAUCUUUUUUAAUUGUUUUAUUACUUUUUAGUUUUAUUAUUAUUUUUAAAUUUAAAUUUAGAUCAUUAUAAAAGAUUGUGUUAAUUAUUUAACUUUAUUAUUAUCUUAAUAUUAGUAGAAAUUUUAUUUUAUAUCCUUAAUUAUUAAAUUAAUUAUAAUUUUAUUAAGGUAAAUAUUUAGUUAUUGUAUUAUUGUAAGUUUAAUGAAUUAGGCAAAAAUUAAAUAGAAUGUUUAACAAAGGCUUUUCUUUUAGAUAUUGUUUUAAGUAAGGUCUGCUCAAUGACUUAUGUUAAAUUGCCGCCUUAGCGUGAGGGUGUGAAAGUAGCAUAAUAAUUUGGCUUUUAAUUGAAGUCUGGAAUGAAAGGUUAAACUAUUUAAUUCUUUAUUAAACUAUUAUUUUGAAAUUUACAUUUCAGUGAGAAGUCUGAAAUUUUAAAGAGGGACGAUAAGACCCCGCAAGCUUUUGUUUUUACUUUAGUUGGGGCAAUUAUUAAAUAAUAUUUAAUAAAAACUUUAAUUUAUAUUUAAUUUGAUCCUUUAUUGAGGAAUUUUGAUAAAGUUACUGUGGGGAUAACAGCGUUAUUUUUAUUGAGAGCUCUUAUCGAUAUAAAAGUUUGCGACCUCGAUGUUGACUUAUAUUUUCUUUUUGGGGUAGGUUUUAAAUAAGAUAGUUUGUUCACCUAUUAUUUUUAUACUUGAGUUGAGUUCAGGUCGACGUAAGUCAGACUGGUUUCUAUCUUCUUUAAAUUGUUUAUCAUUUGUACGAAAGGACUUUGGUA
This 1014-nucleotide ribosomal RNA is filed under the name Echinoderes svetlanae. RNAcentral's name for it is "large subunit ribosomal RNA". The stretch from base 667 to 982 matches the Rfam family "Archaeal large subunit ribosomal RNA", at positions 2146 to 2720 of the family's 2987-position model. Lineage: Eukaryota; Metazoa; Kinorhyncha; Cyclorhagida; Echinoderidae. The record is from RNAcentral.